GUGCUCAAUUCAGUAGCAUAUAUACUAAAAUUGGAAUAAUACAAUAAGAUUAACAUGGCCCCUAUGCAA
This 69-nucleotide small nuclear RNA is filed under the name Canis lupus dingo (dingo). Lineage: Eukaryota; Metazoa; Chordata; Mammalia; Carnivora; Canidae. The record is from RNAcentral.